AAGGCACGGGCGCAGCAAUAUAUACAGCGUGGACCAUCGAUAAUAAAAUAUCACUGGUUAGAGAUUGAUAAAAAACUUAAUUUAUAUCCUGGUGUUGCAAACGCCAAGUGGCGUAAUUUACGUGACAUCUAUGUUAGAAAACUAAAUGAACAAAAAAAAUAUAUUCCAAGUGGAAGUGGAGUUGAAGCCAAACCUACAGUGGAUUCAUGGCCAUAUUUUGAAUUAAUGGGAUUUAUCCGACACUACUACGAGACGUAAAAAGACAUUUAGUAAUAUAAAACCACAGUCUUGUAAUAGUAAUAUGAAUUGUGACACAGACAUGGAACAACCAUCAACUUCUAAAAACAGUUGCAGUGCCAACGGGAAUAAUACUUUUAUAGAAAAGCAAAGGUUAACUCCCCCCCAAGUUCUAAUGAAAUUUCGGAGAGUUCAGAAGAAAAAAGUUAUGACUACAAGCAACAUAACUUAAUACCAGUAAUUUGUAAUAAUUCAAAAAAACGAAUGCAUUUUAAUUCAAAUAUAAAUUUAGAAACAUCGAGAA
This is a long non-coding RNA of Harpegnathos saltator (Jerdon's jumping ant), 541 nucleotides long. RefSeq lists it as uncharacterized. NCBI's taxonomy places the organism in Eukaryota, Metazoa, Arthropoda, Insecta, Hymenoptera, Formicidae. The transcript is spliced from 3 exons. The record is from RefSeq and is a predicted model, not a curated record.